This 248-nucleotide non-coding RNA is filed under the name Pseudanabaena biceps. Lineage: Bacteria; Bacillati; Cyanobacteriota; Cyanophyceae; Pseudanabaenales; Pseudanabaenaceae. The record is from RNAcentral.
UAUAGGAUAGAUCAGGUCGGUUUUCGUAGGUAGCAGCUACGAGACGUAAGGGGGAAAGUACGGUGCAAACCCGUCACUGUCCCGCAACUGUGAAUAUUUUAGAGAAUAUUUUGAGAAUAUUUUGAGAAUAUUUUAGAUAUUUUGGAGCUUGAGGUUAGCUGAUGGCAUUGUCAUUAAGUUUCUCUAAUUUGCCUCUAAUUUGUCUCUAAUUUAUAAGUCAGGAUGCCCGCCGACUGUUUGCUGUAAAU